Molecule: long non-coding RNA, 2384 nt
Organism: Oncorhynchus tshawytscha (Chinook salmon)
Lineage: Eukaryota; Metazoa; Chordata; Actinopteri; Salmoniformes; Salmonidae
Source: Ensembl
CCCCCCCUUCCUAACCACCUGUAUAUGCCCCUCUGCCCCGCCCCUUCCUAACCACCUGUAUACGCCCCCCUCUGCCCCGCCCCUUCCUAACCACCUGUAUACGCCCCUCUGCCCCGCCGCUUCCUAACCACCUGCUCUGUCACCAAGCGUGCUGUAAAGAGUAUGUGAACAGUGUAUUCUCAUAUAGUACAUGGACUUGUAAUUGGGAAUGAUAAUGUAACUAUCCAGACUGCUGUAUUUAUCUUCCAGUCCCUCGGAGCUGUUUAAAAGCUGUAUUUUCAUUAUUAAUUGUGACUUUUAUCACUUGGUUUCCUGGAUGUGGUUGGGGGCUGCUGUUUGACCCAUUUUAACUUUUACAUUUGACAUUUUUCUCGAUUUCCUUUUCCCGAGUGGUGGACAGGAGCAUGUCAGUAUGGUGUUUCGUCCCUGAAGCACAGAGAGGUCUACGAAGCCUCAUUGCCUUACACGGACAGUAUGUCAGGGAACAUCAUUUAUGUGUGUUGAAGAUGUAAAUACUAUUUUGGACAACUUUUUUUCUCUUUUUAAAUGUAACGUUGGCAACGUGGCGGCAGAGAGGACGUGUAGUCGUGUGCUACGCGGCUGAUUGAUGUGUUCUCGUUGGUUUUAACGCAGUCGGUGUGUGAGAGAGGCAAACGCAGCCUGCUGACUCCUCCUGUAAUCGUCUGUUUAAUCGAUCUGCUGCAGCCACCUCUCAGGUUUCAAUGCCCUGCUUUAAGUCAGCGGAGGCGGCCAUGUUUAUUUCCCCACCAUGUUGUACCUCUCUUCAGCGCUGGGUUGUGUUCAUUAGGCACCAAACGGAAGAAAACAAACUGAGGAACUACCUGGACUUGGUCCCAAUAAAGAAACGCUAAUGUUCGGUUCCACGUUGCAAAAUGUUAAACGCUUCCCGUUGCAUGCCCCAAUGAAUGCAACCCAUUAUGGUGGAAGACUACUUAUGUGUGAGAUCAUGCUAGGCUGUGAAUGGGUACCUGCCAUCUAGGCUUGAAUCCCAAAUCGACCCCCCCAAUCCCUAGACAAUCAUCUAGGUCUGAGACCGAUUUGGAGGUAUGAGCACUAUAACAAGGUGAAGUAAUCACCAUAUUGGUUACAGUUUCCACUCCAUACUUUCUAGAAGUGCCCUAGGGAAUAGGGAGGCUCUGGGUUGAUCUGGAACUCAACCCUCUGGACUCUGCUAUGCAGUGGCCCUCAGGUCUUCCAUCAGGACUAUGAGAAUCCUGCCAUGUGACCGCCAGUGGUGGUGGUGGCACUUGCCCUUAGUGUUUUUAGGGUGCGCCCAAAAGGAUGCCCUAUUUCCUGUCUCUUCUUUCUAGGGAACCGGGUGCCAUUUCAGACACAGCCCUGGUCUGUAACUGGUAAGCCUACCCGGUCUUCUCUCAGCCUCUCUGACGUACAUUGUAGUGGGCUUCUUAUCAACGUUGGUGGAUGAGGAGUAUUUAUAAUAUGUGAGUAAAGAAGGGAAAGCAAAUAAAGAGCUGCUGUGAUUGGACCUUUUUUCUUCUUCUUGUCGGCCAUCUUAGAAGUGGACCACUGUCGUCCUCGGAAUAGUUCCCUUCCACUUUUUAGUUCCGUGAAGCAGACUAGAGCAGUGAACAACACAUUACAACCUAGUGUGGUGGGCCUUUUGAUGGGCCCAUUCACAAUGUGUUCAUGGCUAUCCGACUGACUGUGUUAGUUCUUUAUGGGGCACUUUGUAGUUUGUGAAGCUUAAGGAUCUAGAAGUGGAGUGGGACUAUUCCACAUAGUACAGAGGCUCCUCACAACACACUGAUUCCUUAUGUGUUGAGAAGAUGGAGUAAUACAGUGUGGAUGGAACUGUACAGGCUGACUGGAUGGAUGGAACUGUACAGGCUGAUGACUGGGUGGAUGGAACUGUACAGGCUGACUGGAUGGAUGGAACUGUACAGGGUGGAUGGAACUGUACAGGCUGACUGGACUGUACAGGGUGGAUGGAACUGUACAGGCUGAUGACUGGGUGGAUGGAACUGUACAGGGUGGAUGGAACUGUACAGGCUGACUGGAUGGAUGGAACUGUACAGGCUGAUGACUGGGUGGAUGGAACUGUACAGGGUGGAUGGAACUGUACAGGCUGAUGACUGGGUGGAUGGAACUGAUGGUCUACCUCUUUCAUUCACUCUACAUGCCACCAAGUCAUUGGGUGGUUCUGACAAACUUGAACUGUGGGAAGACAAAAUAAAGGCUUUAUUCUUAAAUAAAAUGUCUCCUUGUCAAUUACUGUUAUCGCACCAAACUUCUUGAGUAUCCCGUUUUAUCAUUCGUUGACCAUGAUCGUAGAAUCGUGAUUAAAUCACAGUUUAGCAGAUGCUACAGCCAGUGCAGCAGAAAUGCUUGUUACUAGCUCUGUA